Molecule: non-coding RNA, 127 nt
Organism: Pseudonaja textilis
Lineage: Eukaryota; Metazoa; Chordata; Lepidosauria; Squamata; Elapidae
Source: RefSeq, a predicted model, not a curated record
GGUUGACUCAGCCUUCCAUUCUUCCAAGGUCCAGUAAAAUGAAGACCCAGAUUGUCGGGGGCAAUAUCCUGACUCUAUAAGCCACUUAGAGGGAACUGUAAAGCACCGUGAAGCGGUAUAUCAGUCU